Molecule: unclassified non-coding RNA, 391 nt
Filed under: soil metagenome
Description: partial contains 5.8S ribosomal RNA, internal transcribed spacer 2, and large subunit ribosomal RNA
Rfam family: 5.8S ribosomal RNA (bases 1-122)
Source: RNAcentral
GAUGAAGAACGUAGCGAAAUGCGAUACUUGGUGUGAAUUGCAGAAUCCCGUGAACCAUCGAGUCUUUGAACGCAAGUUGCGCCCGAAGCCAUUAGGCCGAGGGCACGCCUGCCUGGGCGUCACACGUCGUUGCCCCCCCAUCUACUCCUUCGGGAUUGCGGGGGGCGGAUGAUGGCCUCCCGUGCGCCUCGUCGCGCGGUUGGCAUAAAUGCCAAGUCCUCGGCGACACACGCCACGACAAUCGGUGGUUGCGAAACCUCGGUUGCCCGUCGUGUGCGGUCGUCGAGCAUCGAGGGCUCGAAAAAAUUGCCGGGCUCCGGCUCGGCUUUCAACGCGACCCCAGGUCAGGCGGGGUUACCCGCUGAAUUUAAGCAUAUCAAUAAGCGGAGGA